GAUGAACGCUGGCGGCGUGCCUAAUACAUGCAAGUCGAGCGAACAGAUGAGGAGCUUGCUCCCCUGACGUUAGCGGCGGACGGGUGAGUAACACGUGGAUAACCUACCUAUAAGACUGGGAUAACUUCGGGAAACCGGAGCUAAUACCGGAUAAUAUAUUGAACCGCAUGGUUCAAUAGUGAAAGACGGUUUUGCUGUCACUUAUAGAUGGAUCCGCGCCGCAUUAGCUAGUUGGUAAGGUAACGGCUUACCAAGGCAACGAUGCGUAGCCGACCUGAGAGGGUGAUCGGCCACACUGGAACUGAGACACGGUCCAGACUCCUAAGGGAGGCAGCAGUAGGGAAUCUUCCGCAAUGGGCGAAAGCCUGACGGAGCAACGCCGCGUGAGUGAUGAAGGUCUUCGGAUCGUAAAACUCUGUUAUUAGGGAAGAACAAAUGUGUAAGUAACUAUGCACGUCUUGACGGUACCUAAUCAGAAAGCCACGGCUAACUACGUG
This 497-nucleotide ribosomal RNA is filed under the name uncultured bacterium. RNAcentral's name for it is "partial 16S ribosomal RNA". It matches the Rfam family "Bacterial small subunit ribosomal RNA", at positions 28 to 507 of the family's 1533-position model. The record is from RNAcentral.